Molecule: RNA transcript, 4396 nt
Organism: Amyelois transitella
Lineage: Eukaryota; Metazoa; Arthropoda; Insecta; Lepidoptera; Pyralidae
Gene: Golgin104
Gene name: coiled-coil domain-containing protein 186
Exons: 14
Source: RefSeq, a predicted model, not a curated record
UCAAACAAUAGUACACAGAUCAAAAAGUGAAAUCAAAUGUUUAUUUCUAAAAAACUAAUUUAUUUCUAUUUAUCCAGUGCUUUUGUGUUUUUUAAUCGCCACGCAAAUAAUAGAACCUUCUGCCAAGCAAUGUAUUAACAGUAAAAUGUCUCAAGGACCCGAGGAAAAUCCAAUCCAUACAGAUAAAGAUAUUGUAGCUAUUUCCAAAGAAAAUGGCUCAUUAUGCGAAAUUACUGAUAAUUCAGGGGUGGUAACAAACGACGCCUGCUCUGUUGUGGGCUCUGCAUCAUCUGAUUCUGAAGAGUCGCCGUCAAAGCAUUCGGAAACUUUACGUCAAGACAUCGAAAGUAUAUCAGCCAAAGUUGUUCAAAAUGAAAGUGUCUCCACACACAGUAGUCUAGUUUCUCAUUCACCCGAUAGUGAUGAUCUCAGUGACGUCCUAGUUAAUCGUAGUGACACUCAGACAAACGAAAAUAAUCAUGUCUCUUUGGACAAAGAUGAUAAUGAACCAAUUGAAGUAAUAAUACAGCCUUGUACAAAAGAAAACAAAGUAACAUUCCCAGCUACUGACCAUGAUGAUAAAAACAAUUUUGACUUAAACACUGAUUUGAAUAAUUUCACUAACAAAGCUUUAACAACAUCUACAACAAGUUUAGAUCACCAAAGAGUUCAGGACUCAAUAUCCAAAUCACCAUUAAGUCGUAGUGCUGAGGAUAUUUCAAAAGUAGAACUACCCCAAGAGAAAUUGAAUUUAAGUGCAAAAGAGUUGAAUACUGAAGAAAUACUGGCACAAUUUGUGAGCCAAAAACCUAAAGCUGGUGCUACACAGAAGAUAAUAGACAGUCCACAGAUUAUACAAAAUUUAGAUGUGAGAUAUGCUAAAAUACCAAAAGAGUUAUUAUCCCAAGAUUUAGGCAGUAUUGUAAAGAAUGUACAUGGCAUUUUUUCAUCUGUGAGUGGCAGUCUGAAAAGUGCUUAUAAUAGCAGCCAAAGAGUUUUGCCACAACAAAAAGCUCCUGUAAAAUUAGUUAAAAACUUGCCAAAUGGCAAAGUAAUGAAAGAUAUAUUCGAAGAUGAAUUAACAGAGGACAGGCCACAAAUAAUUAGUGUUGAAAAAACAAAUGAGUCUGAAAUUCUGAAUACGAAGUCUGAUUUGAAUUUGGAAUCUGAGGGUGAGGAUGUGAAAGGAGAUGUUUUGAAGUUACAGGUAGAAUCUUUAGAGAAGUUGUUGGCGGAACAGAGAAAGGAGAAUGGUUUGUUGAGAGACAGAGUAAAACAGCAGCUAGAUGAGUUACAAGAGAGAGAUCAGACUUUUAAAGAGCUGGAAGUGAAGUUGGACUUGAUGAGCAAGCGAGUAGAACAAGCGGAGCGUGAAAAAGACGCUGCUGUGAUGCGGUACGCGAGUGUAGAAUGUGCCGCUAUAGAAGCCAAGCGAGCCGCCGAGAAGGCCGCAGCGGCUGAGAGAGCGGCUGUCAGCGAGACGGAACUGCUCAGCAACAAGCUGAAGUCCGCUCACGUGGAGAAGCAGAGGAUCUGUCAGCUUUAUGAUGACAAGUGUCACGAAUUGUCCAAUAAAGAAAGAGAGGUCGCGAAGGUGCGUGAGGAGUUGCGCGAGCUGGAGGGGAGGCUGAAGUGGACCCAGAGCAAGCUGCGGGUGGAGAUGGACGCUUACAAGGAUAGUUCAGAACGCGCCGAGAAGCUCUCCCAACAGUUGGCGGAACUUGAGGCCGCUAAAGAGAACGCCGCCGUCAACGCCGCGGAGUUGGCGCGGACAAAGCAGUUAGAAACGGAACUAAAGGAAUGUCGUGCAGAUCUCAUACUGUGUCGCCAUGAGAGAGAGGAGUUGGAGAAGAGAUUGACAACCGCCAACCAGCAGCUGGAGAGCUGUCGGCGAGAGCGGGACGGAUAUAGCGAGGCUCUCACUCGCACUACUGCCGAGGUGGAAAAGCUGAAGAUGAGCAACCUUCAGCUCGAGGAAGAGGCUGCCGAGCUGGCCGCCCUGAGGGCCCAGGCCGCAUUGGCGGACACGCUCAGCGCUCAGCUGCAGAGGGAAUCCGAGCGAGCGUUGAGAGCGGAAGAAGCGCUGGUGGAAUCGCAAGCGCUCGCUCAAACCUGCGCUCGGCGGGAGGCGCUCGCGCUCGAGCACGCCGCGCGCCUCACCGCCGCGCACGUCGCCGAGCGCGCGCGUGCGCAGCAGACCGACGGCAAGGCCCAAGCCCUCACGGCAGACAACGCCUCCCUCCGGGAACAAGUGAAGGGUCUGGAGGCAGAAGUCAGCAAGCUCACCGCCGCCUUGUCCGAGGAAGUGGAGAGGCGGAACAAGGAGAACCGCGUGCUCGCCAGGAAGGUAGCAGAGUUGACGGAAGAAGUUGCCGAAGCCAAUAAGAAGCUGGAGUGGGAGAAGGGAGAGAAUGGAGUUCUCAAGAAGAAGCAUGCCAGCGCUGUGAAGGAGCUAAACCGUGAACUACAACGGGCUUUGAAGCGCUGCGAGCAACUCGAAGCGAAGCUGACACCGCCUGACGCCACCUCCACCAGAACUGGGUCUGUGUCGUCACUUAGCAGUGGAGAGAGUGCGGCCGUGGAAGAGCGGUUGCAGAAUGGUCACGACGCACUGCCAGAUAUACAGGUUCGCGAGCCUGACAAGCAAGCGUUGAUCGAACGGAUAGUGUCCCUGCAGCGAGCCGCCGCCAGGAGGGCCGAGCGCUGCGAGUUCCUGGAGGAGCACUCCAAGCAGCUGACAGACGAGCUGCGAGCCAAGUCCAGGCUGCUGAGACAGCUGCUGUUGGAGCUGCCGGCCGACACCGUCACUUCUCAGCGGCGGGACAUCAACAAGGUCACUCUUAUGGCACUCUAUACUGUCAGUUCCCACAGGAGCACUCCAAGCAGCUGACGGACGAGCUGCGAGCCAAGUCCAGGCUGCUGAGACAGCUGCUGUUGGAACUACCGGCGGACACAGUCACUUCUCAGCGGCGGGACAUCAACAAGGUCACUCUUAUAGGACUCUGUACUGCCAGUUCCCACAGGAGCUCUCCAAGCAGCUGACAGACGAGCUGCGAGCCAAGUCCAGGCUGCUGAGACAGCUGCUGUUGGAGCUGCCGGCCGACACCGUCACCUCUCAGCGGCGGGACAUCAACAAGGUCACUCUUACAGCACUCUAUACUGUCAGUUCCCACAGGAGCACUCCAAGCAGCUGACAGACGAGCUGCGAAACAAAUCCAGGCUGCUGAGACAGCUGCUGUUGGAGCUGCCGGCCGACACCGUCACUUCUCAGCGGCGGGACAUCAACAAGGUCACUCUUAUAGGACUCUGUACUGUCAGUUCCCACAGGAGCACUCCAAGCAGCUGACGGACGAGCUGCGAGCCAAGUCCAGGCUGCUGAGACAGCUGCUGUUGGAGCUGCCGGCCGACACCGUCACCUCUCAGCGGCGGGACAUCAACAAGAAAGAGAUGGCGCGUCUAGGAGGCGGGGCCAUGGCGGCCGUGUGGGGGGGCUCCGCGGACGGGAUGACGCUGGACCUCUCUCUGGAGAUGAACAGGAGGCUGCAGGCUGUGCUGGAGGACGCUCUUCUUAAAAACAUCACACUUAAGGAAAACAUGGACACAUUAGGUGCGGAGAUCUCAAGGCUAAAAGAGCAAAUAAAACAGGAUAAGAAAUAAAAUUAUAUCACUCGUUAUAAAUACAUAUGAGGAUUAUGUUUUAAACUUUUUUCGUGACGCGCAUGUUACGAAACUAGUAUCAAUGUCAUCAUGACACUGUAAAUUGUAUAAAUGUAGGGGGAAAAAAACAGAUAAUAUAUGUGUUCUAGACAUGAACUAGAAUGAUCAGCAGCUUGGCAUUAAAAUGGAGAGAGUAGAAUUUAUUAAAAUAUAGAGGUCAAUUGUGGUUCCCGGCACCAAUACAAAAAAGAAUAGGACCACUCCAUCUCUUUCCCGUGGAUGACGUAAAUGGCGACUAAGGGAUAGGCUUACAAACUUGGGAUUCUUAUUUUAGGCGAUGGGCUAGCGACCUGUCACUAUUUGCAUCUCAAUUCUAUCAUUAAGCCAAAUAGCUGAACGUGGCCAUUCAGUCUUUUCAAGACUGUUGGCUCUGUUUGCCCCGCAAGGGAUAUAGACGUGAACAUAUGUAUGUAUGUCAAUGUGACACACUUUACACUGUCUAUGUUCUUAUGAAGGUCAGUGUACAUAUCAGUUCACAAUGUACAUUCGCCAGGUUAAACAUUUAAUAAAUGACUCUUGAAAAUGUAUGUUCGCAGUGACAUCGUCAGAUAUAUGUAUAUGUAUACUUUUUGUUAUAUCCUGUACAAUAAAAUAACAUUUAUUCAUUCAAUAUUAUUCACGCUAAUAUUUCUUAUGGAACAAUUUGCUGACACCACCUAUAUAAUCUGUAUUUAUAUUU